This 1462-nucleotide long non-coding RNA is filed under the name Homo sapiens (human). RNAcentral's name for it is "non-protein coding lnc-CNBD1-3:2". The record is from RNAcentral. Lineage: Eukaryota; Metazoa; Chordata; Mammalia; Primates; Hominidae.
UCAGUGUGUCAGUCACACCGGGAUUCAUUCACUGAGUUCCGGGAGCAAGGCAGCUUUUCAAGGCUGGGCACUAAACAGGGGGAGCUUUGUGAGUGCCUAGACUCCUCUGCCGGCCACCUGCUCUUCCUCUCCUUGGCUUCCACGAAGAAAGCUGCAUGAGAGCAGGGAAUUGCUUUGUCCAAUGCUAAUCACUAAAGCUUAGAAUACUGCUUGUUACAUGGGCCAGAAGUCAAGAAUAGGAGAGCAGCAGAAAACCACUAAAUAUGACAGCCAGCUUCACAUGGUUAGGUGGAAACAUCAUUGAUGCAGGAUUUUUCUUUGUCUCCUUACCAGUUGGGGACCUCUGGCUGGUGAUGUUACCUGCCACAGGAUGUGCCCUGCCCAAUCAGCUUGCCAAGUCUAGCUUGUGCACUGGUUCCUGAGUUCUUGUCCUGUGCCCAAGAAGAAUGAGGAUGUGCUGACCAUUGAAGGUAAAAGUAUAUUCUCUUACAUAUUUUCUUUGACAAAUUAUCAAAAUUAGGAAAUUUAACAUUGAAGUAAAAUGUUUUUGAAAUUUAUAGCUCAUAUUCAAAUUUUGUCAACUGUCUUAAUAAAACACUUUCUAGCUAUUACUUUCUUAGUUCACAGUCAGAUAUUUCAAUUAGUUGUCAUGUCUGUGUAGUCUCCUUUAAUUGGAAAGAAUUCCUUAGCCUUUGUUUUUGUUGACCCUGAAAUUAUUAAAGGGUACAAACCAAUUAUUUUGUAGAAGAGUUCCUGUCUGGUGUUUCCUCAUCAUUAGGUUCAGGUUAUGUUUGACAGGAAAACCAUGAUACAUUUUAUCGUUGGUGCCUAUCAAAAGGCAUGCACUAUUUUUCCAAUAUUGGUAGAUUUAAUGUUAUCCCUUUGUUAUUGUGGUAUUCAUCAGGUUUCUCCACUCAGUAACUACUAUUUCCCCUUUGUGAUCAAUAUGCAAUUUGUAAAGAAGAUAACCUGAGGCCAUAUAAAUAUCCUGUACCUCAUCAAACUUUAAUCCUCUGUUUUUUUAAUCCAUUGAUGAUUCCUUUUUUUUUUUUCCUUUCUUUUUUUUGAAACAGAGUCUUGUUCUGUUGACCAGGCUGGAAUGCUGUGGUGUGAUCUCGCCUCAUUUCAACCUCCACCUCCCAGGUUCAAGCGAUUCUCCUGCCUCAGCCUCCCGAGUAGCUGAGACUACAGGUGCCCGCCACCACGCCUGGCUAAGUUUUGUAUUUUUAGUAGAGAUGGGGUUUCACCAUAUUGGCCAAGCUGUUCUCGAACUCCUGACCUUGUGAUCUUCCCACUUCAGGCUCCCAAAGUGCUGGGAUUACUUACAGGCAUGAGCCACUGUGCCUGGCCCCACUGAUGAUUUUCUAACUCAUAUAUGCUUCUAUAUUUACUGGCUAGCACCCAAGCCACCUCUUAGUUGGACUAUUUCACUGCAACAGUCCCCUUCAGCUGGUGAGUCUCU